Molecule: ribosomal RNA, 253 nt
Filed under: uncultured bacterium
Lineage: Bacteria
Description: partial 16S ribosomal RNA
Rfam family: Bacterial small subunit ribosomal RNA
Source: RNAcentral
UACGGGGGGGGCAAGCGUUGUUCGGAAUUACUGGGCGUAAAGGGUUCGUAGGUGGCCUACUAAGUCAGACGUGAAAUCCCUCAGCUUAACUGGGGAACUGCGUCUGAUACUGGGGGGCUUGAGUGCAGGAGAGGAACGCGGAAUUCCAGGUGUAGCGGUGAAACGCGUAGAUAUCUGGAGGAACACCGGUGGCGAAGGCGGCGUUCUGGACUGCAACUGACACUGAUGAACGAAAGCCAGGGGAGCAAACGGG